UUCUAGCGCGUGCUGAGCGUCAUCGUUCG
RNAcentral lists this small RNA (29 nucleotides) under Bombyx mori (domestic silkworm). RNAcentral describes it as "ovarian small RNA-37474". Lineage: Eukaryota; Metazoa; Arthropoda; Insecta; Lepidoptera; Bombycidae. The record is from RNAcentral.